UGGGGAAUAUUGCACAAUGGGCGCAAGCCUGAUGCAGCGACGCCGCGUGAGGGAUGACGGCCUUCGGGUUGUAAACCUCUGUUAGCAGGGAAGAAGAGAGAUUGACGGUACCUGCAGAGAAAGCGCCGGCUAACUACGUGCCAGCAGCCGCGGUAAUACGUAGGGCGCGAGCGUUGUCCGGAAUUAUUGGGCGUAAAGAGCUUGUAGGCGGUUUGUCGCGUCUGCUGUGAAAGGCCGGAGCUUAACUCCGUGUAUUGCAGUGGGUACGGGCAGACUAGAGUGCAGUAGGGGAGACUGGAAUUCCUGGUGUAGCGGUGGAAUGCGCAGAUAUCAGGAGGAACACCGAUGGCGAAGGCAGGUCUCUGGGCUGUAACUGACGCUGAGAAGCGAAAGCAUGGGGAGCGAACA
This 408-nucleotide ribosomal RNA is filed under the name uncultured bacterium. RNAcentral's name for it is "bacterial SSU rRNA". It matches the Rfam family "Bacterial small subunit ribosomal RNA", at positions 355 to 774 of the family's 1533-position model. The record is from RNAcentral.